UGGAAUGAACAGAAAUUUCACUGCAAAACCUUUUCUAUUUUCGGACCAAAGCUGAAAAUUAGAAAAAAAAAUUACUAAUCAGCAUAUAUGUCCGUGGUGCAAAAAAAUAAAGAAAAAAAGAAUGGCAAGAAAUGUAUUUACCAGGAUGCAAAGGAACAUAAGGCACCAAACCACUUGCGAGGAUUCUCCACUUUCCAAACAAAGUGAAAAUACCAAAAAAAAAAACACUAAUUGUGUAGCAUUUGUGUCUGCUAUGCGAAAAGGAAAAAGGCAAAGAUGAGUUAUUUUGAUAGACUAUAUGUAAAAUUAAUCUGAGAAUUUGUGGCAUAUUCAACCUUAAAAUAGACUUGACAGGCUAGUUAAUGGCAUACGACAAUGCCCAUAAUAAAAGUCUGUAACUUCAGUCACAUCCAAAUGAAUGACAGAAUAUUCCACACCAAAUAAUGCAAUAGAACACCGACACUUUUCUCAUGUUGCAUUAUGCUGGGUAAUUUGCAAAAGGUGAAGUAUGUAUGUAUGAUUUUACGUGAUCCAUUUCUUACACAAAACAUGAUUCAUUCAAUAGUCAAAAUUUGACUCAGCACAAGAAAAGCUACCCAAGAGUCCACAAAAUUAGGUUAAACAACGUCAACAGCUCUCAACACACAAGACUUUUUCAAUCAGGAAAUUAACAUUGGAACCACAACCAUAACACAUUUUAAGUUAAGAUGACAGCCAAAGCAAAGAGUACUACGGCAGAAAAUUUAAUUGCAAUACGGCCUUAAAUUCCACAUUACAAAAAGAAAUAGAAUAAACGUUUUUCUUUUUUGAGAAAUAGAACAAAUUUGAAUUACAAUAUUAGAUUUAAUUUUUAAAAGGCAUUCAAAAUAGAUUGCAAAUUCAGCUCCCAGAUCGCCAAUAAAAGAAAACCAAAACCUCAGUAUCACAGGCAAGAACAAAAAAUAAAGCUGGAUUUAAGAAGCAGCAGUAGCAUAAGAAUAUGUAAAGCUAUUCAACUAAGUAUCUACUAAUUAAUCCCUAAUCAAGAUUGUAAUACACACAGAGAAGGAAAAUUACCAUAGAUUUCAGCUGAAGUGAGAAAUCAGUGUGCAGAAAAGACCCAAUUGGAAGAAAACGGUAGGGUUCCAAUGGCGGUUCAGGCAAGGCGGAGUAGAUGAUUGAUGGCCGAUAGGCAUAAAGAAGUCUUGAAGAUUACGAAUUAGGGUAAAGAAUUUGGGGGAAAGGUCUGGAAAAUUAAGGGCAUGUUUGGUAUUAGCGUUUUUCUGUUUUUUCCAAAGCAAUUUCUAUGUUCCUCGCUCUGUUAGUUUCUGCUUACACUAGGACAAAAUAUGAACCUACGUGUUCUCACUUAUCACUUUAUAAAAUGAAAAUCCCUACUAUUUCAAAAUCAAGAAGGGAGGUUUGUGAUUUUAUCAAAACUAUAAGGGGGUUAGUGUAAUUUACCCUUUUUCUUAUUUCUGAGAUUUUGUAGAGUGAUAAGUGAGAACACGUAGGUUCAUAUUUUGUCCUAGUGUAAGCAGAAACUAACAGAGCGAGGUACAUAGAAAUUGCUUUGGAAAAAACAGAAAAACACUAAUACCAAACAUGCCCUUAAUUUUCCAGACCUUUCCCCCAAAUUCUUUGCCCUAAUUCGUAAUCUUCAAGGUUUCUUCAUCUCUAUUGGCCAUCAAUCAUCAAUUCCGCCCUGCCUGAACUGCCACUGAAACCCUACCGUUUUCUUCCAAUUGGGUUUUUUCUGCACACUGAUUUCUCACUUCAGCUGAAAUCUAUGGUAAUUUUCCUUCUCUGUAUGUAUUACAAUCUUGAUUAGGGAUUAAUUAGUAGAUACUUAGUUGAAUAGCUUUACGUAUUCUUAUGCUACUGCUUCUUCUUAAAUCCUGCUUUAUUUUUUGUUCUUCCCCUGUGAUACUGAGGUUUUGGUUUUCUUUUAUUGGCAAUCCGGGAGCUAAAUUUGCGAUCUAUUUUGAAUACUUUUUAAAAAUUAAAUCUAAUAUUUUAAUUCAAAUUUGUUCUAUUUCUCAAAAAAGAAAAACGUUUGUUCUAUUUCUUUUUGUAACGUGGAAUUUAAGGCCGUAUUGCAAUUAAAUUUUCUGCCGUAGUACUCUUUGCUUUGGCUGUCAUCUUAACUUAAAAUGUGUUAUGGUUGUGGUUCCAAUGUUAAUUCCUGAUUGAAAAAGUCUUGUGUGUUGAGAGCUGUUGACGUUGUUUAACCUAAUUUUGUGGACUCUUGGGUAGCUUUUCUUGUGCUGAGUCAAAUUUUGACUAUUGAAUGAAUCAUAUUUUGUGUAAGAAAUGGAUCACGUAAAAUCAUACAUCCAUACUUCACCUUUUGCAAAUUACCCAGCAUAAUGCAACAUGAGAAAAGUGUCGGUGUUCAAUUGCAUUAUUUGGUGUGGAAUAUUCUGUCAUUCAUUUGGAUGUGACUGAAGUUACAGACUUUUAUUAUUGACAUUGUCGUAUGCCAUUAACUAGCCUGUCAAGUCUAUUUUAAGGUUGAAUAUGCCAUAAAUUCUUAGAUGAAUUUUACAUAUAGUCUAUCAAAAUAACUCAUCUUUGCCUUUUUCCUCUUCGCAUAGCAGACACGAAUGCUACACAAUUAGUGUUUUUUUUUUUUUUGGUAUUUUCAGCUUUGUUUGGAAAGUGGAGAAUCCUCGCAAGUGGUUUGGUGCCUUUUGUUCCUUUGCAUCCUAGUAAAUACAUUUCUUGCCAUUCUUUUUUUCUUUAUUUUUUUGCACCACAGACAUAUAUACUGAUCAGUAAUUUUUUUUUUCUAAUUUUCAGCUUUGGUCCGAAAAUAGAAAAGGUUUUGCAGUGAAAUUUCUGUUCAUUCCAGGUUAGUUUACCUCUGAUUUGUAUCAUUAAUUUGCUGAAAUUUUUGUUAAUAUUAUAUGGGCUGAUAUUUUAAAUAUUUUUCCAGGUUAGUUUUCCAGUAAAAGAGACUUUUUCUCUUGACAUCUAAACAAAAGGUUGGAUUUGUGUGUGCAAGGUCACAUCAUUAGCAAACGGCUUAGCAAAGAAACAUCCAAAUUUUCUUCAAGUCCGAGAGAAAAAUAUUUGCAUUUAGCUAGUUAAGUUAAGGAUCAUUCAUUACAUUCAACGAAAAGUUAUGAUAAGAGAGAUUGUAGGUUGUUCUAUUCUCUUAUAAGGAGAAUUGCAAUUACCCGAUCCCUUGUGUUUAAGUUUUUUGGUAAGUACGCUUCUCUAUCUAGUAAUGUCUUCUGAAUUCUGAUUUAGUCUCUAAUCAUUAAUUCAUUACUAUAAAAUAAUAAUACUCCUAAUUCUGAUUUCUUCAACAAGUUCAAUGGGAAGAUUUAUAUGGUAGCAGAGUCUCGAUUAUCAGAGCUUCCUAUGGAGAAGGCAAAAAAGAGUGUACCUAAUGGACCCGUUAAUGAUUCUGAGAGCACAAAUCCUAAGACAAAGUGCUGGUGCUUCAGAACCGUAAAUAAUUUUCAAGCAAGAAAACCAAAUUUUCACAAAUCCUAAUGGACCCGUCAAUAAUUCCCUUCAACUCAAUUCAAUCAAAGGCAAUAUACGUUCAAAUACCAAGAAAACCAAAUACAAAUCACAACUUUAUCAAUCACCAUCUCCACACGUAUCAAAUUUCAAGCAAGAAAAUAACCAGACUCACAUGUGACUUUAAUUGAAGUGCUGGUGCUUGAGCUUCAGUGUGGUGGCAGGCUGGUAGCACGAAAAUUGGAGAAGAACGGGUGCUGGAGCUUCAAACUUUGAAGCUUGAAACGGCCAAAAUCUGGCGGCAACAGAGGAUUUCGUAGCUUGAUAUUCUUACCGAAGCAAUGGCUGCUGGAGCUUGAAGCUUUAAAGCUUGAAGCCUUGAAGCUGUCAGCUGUAGCUUGUGGGUUCUUGGUAGAAGCCGCAGCGAUUUGUCUUGUGGGUUCUUGGUAAGAGCUGUAGCCGAAGCUUGAGGUGGUUUGAUGGUUGGGAUUUGAUUUGGGCAGCGGAGAGGAGAAGAGAAACGACAAAGGUCUGCUUGAGGAGAAGAUGAAGAAGACCCGAAGCUUUUUUUU
RNAcentral lists this long non-coding RNA (4025 nucleotides) under Coffea arabica (coffee). RNAcentral's name for it is "long non-coding RNA (CARA_LNC003164)". The record is from RNAcentral. Lineage: Eukaryota; Viridiplantae; Streptophyta; Magnoliopsida; Gentianales; Rubiaceae.